This 484-nucleotide ribosomal RNA is filed under the name uncultured bacterium. Its description in RNAcentral is "partial 16S ribosomal RNA". It matches the Rfam family "Bacterial small subunit ribosomal RNA", at positions 30 to 507 of the family's 1533-position model. The record is from RNAcentral.
AUUGAACGCUGGCGGCAGGCCUAACACAUGCAAGUCGAGCGGAUGAAGGGAGCUUGCUCCUGGAUUCAGCGGCGGACGGGUGAGUAAUGCCUAGGAAUCUGCCUGGUAGUGGGGGAUAACGUCCGGAAACGGGCGCUAAUACCGCAUACGUCCUGAGGGAGAAAGUGGGGGAUCUUCGGACCUCACGCUAUCAGAUGAGCCUAGGUCGGAUUAGCUAGUUGGUGGGGUAAAGGCCUACCAAGGCGACGAUCCGUAACUGGUCUGAGAGGAUGAUCAGUCACACGGGAACUGAGACACGGUCCAGACUCCUACGGGAGGCAGCAGUGGGGAAUAUUGGACAAUGGGCGAAAGCCUGAUCCAGCCAUGCCGCGUGUGUGAAGAAGGUCUUCGGAUUGUAAAGCACUUUAAGUGGGGAGGAAGGGCAGUAAGUUAAUACCUUGCUGUUUUGACGUUACCAACAGAAUAAGCACCGGCUAACUUCGUG